CUUUUGUACAAGCAUUAGUAAUUGUGUGUUUACAUUUUAAUAUUAUGAUUAAUUACUUGCAAGUUUGUGUGUUUGUUGUUGUAAUACAUUUGACUGAUUUUGUUUAUGGCCAAGAGAAAUAUUAUGAUCAAAAAUACGAUAAUUUCGACGUAGAUUAUUUUGCACAGAAUCCGAGGUUGUUGCGAAGGUAUAUGGAAUGUUUUUUGGAUAAAGGACCAUGCACUCCGGUUGGAAGAGUUUUUAAACUGGUGUUACCAGAACUAAUUACUACAUCAUGUACUAAGUGCUCGCCAUCACAGAAAAAUCUUGCUCGUAAAACAUUUGAUGCUUUCAAGAAAUUCUUGCCGAAGGAGCUCGAAGAAUUAAAGAAAAAACUUGACCCUACAAAUAAAUUCUAUGACGCAUUUGAAAAGGCUAUAUCUGAUUCCUAAGAGUUUCGACUAAGUUUCUAUAUACAUACACAUACACUUUGAAUGUAAUGACAGGAACAUUUUAACAAUGAGGGCCUUCAUAAUUUUGUGUUGUCUGGUGGUAGCAGUAUUUGCCGCUGAUAAAUAUAAUUCCAAAU
This is an RNA transcript of Achroia grisella, 568 nucleotides long. It is a transcript of the gene named ejaculatory bulb-specific protein 3-like, with no coding region annotated. NCBI's taxonomy places the organism in Eukaryota, Metazoa, Arthropoda, Insecta, Lepidoptera, Pyralidae. The record is from RefSeq and is a predicted model, not a curated record. The transcript is spliced from 3 exons.